AAUAUGAAUAUUUAACACAUGUUGUUGAUGGACAAGUUUAAAACCAUCGUGUAUAGGAUUAGAUGAUAUGUGCUUAGUUAAGAUGAUAUAUGUAUGAAUAAUAGAAUGAAUCCAUUUUGAACAGAGUAAAAAUCUCAAGUAACGAAGUUAUGGCAAAAUUUACGAGAUUAGGCGAUAAUCGUCAAAAUCGUAAAAUCUCGGAAUGAUAGUCAAAAG
RNAcentral lists this long non-coding RNA (216 nucleotides) under Panax ginseng (ginseng). RNAcentral describes it as "long non-coding RNA (PGIN_LNC005617)". The record is from RNAcentral. Lineage: Eukaryota; Viridiplantae; Streptophyta; Magnoliopsida; Apiales; Araliaceae.